This is a long non-coding RNA of Galeopterus variegatus (Sunda flying lemur), 499 nucleotides long. RefSeq lists it as uncharacterized. The record is from RefSeq and is a predicted model, not a curated record. The transcript is spliced from 3 exons. Lineage: Eukaryota; Metazoa; Chordata; Mammalia; Dermoptera; Cynocephalidae.
CAACAAUAUUCAACAGAUGAUCUGAACUCUGAAAGCCAAAAUUUCAUCUCCAUCCAUCACUCACUAAAGACUGAGACCCUCGCAUAUACCUACUAGUAAAUAAGUUAAUUUCUCAGCUAGGCCUCUAUUUUUAUCGGUUGCUCUUGAAACCUGCUACACCAUGGUCACCGUAAAGUCUGCUCCACCAUCAUUCAGAAAAUCCAGUGGUAGAUUCCAAGCCCCCUAUGCAUAGUGGAGCCUGUGCACAGGAGAAGCCUGGAUUCCAGGGUAACUGCACCUACUGGAGAACCACCGUUCACACUGGUAUGACAUGAGCAAGAAAUAACUCUAUAGUUAGAAGCCACGAAGAAUUUGAGGUUCUUUCAGCAGUGAGCUCUUUCCUGACUAAUCUGACAUUGUGUAAAUUUGAAUGUUGAGAUACUUUGGUAGAAUUAUCAUAGGAGAUCAUUGCAUUUCUAAAAAAUCUUUUGGAUCAAAGACAAAGUCACUGUUUUUCCCC